CACGCCGUAAACUAUGGAUACUAGCUGUUGGAGGUAUCGACCCCUUCAGUAGCGAAGCUAACGCGUUAAGUAUCCCGCCUGUGGAGUACGGUCGCAAGACUAAAACAUAAAGGAAUUGACGGGGACCCGCACAAGCGGUGGAGCGUGUUCUUUAAUUCGAUGAUAAACGAAGAACCUUACCAGGGCUUGACAUCCCUUGAAUUACUCCGAAAGGAGUGAGUGCUUUAUUGAGCAAGGUGACAGGUGU
RNAcentral lists this ribosomal RNA (247 nucleotides) under uncultured Candidatus Saccharibacteria bacterium. RNAcentral describes it as "partial 16S ribosomal RNA". It matches the Rfam family "Bacterial small subunit ribosomal RNA", at positions 796 to 1041 of the family's 1533-position model. The record is from RNAcentral. Lineage: Bacteria; Candidatus Saccharimonadota.